GCGCCAACAAAUUCCGUAGCGCUGUACAAUUGGUGGACUAACAGACACAUAAUUGAGAUCAGACCACUGACGUACAGGAACAGAGAGGGUUGAGGGCCCUGCUCGAUGAGCUUACAUGCUAGAGGGAGUGGGGUAUAGUGACACAAAGGGUUAAAGUAGGGGAAUUAAAUAGUUUGUUACAGAAGGGUUUAUUGAGUGCUUGGUAGGUCAUUUUUGACAGGUGAAGGAACGGAGUCAUGGGGUGGGGAAUGAGAAACCUGCUGACAGUUUAAUUGAUACGCUUUAAUGAAGAAGUGAGUUUUCAAAGAUUUUUUGAAGGAAUGGAGGCUGGGUGAAAGUCUGAUUGAGG
This is a non-coding RNA of Pelobates cultripes (western spadefoot toad), 349 nucleotides long. The record is from the annotation of a GenBank genome assembly. Lineage: Eukaryota; Metazoa; Chordata; Amphibia; Anura; Pelobatidae.